AUUGAACGCUGGCGGCAGGCCUAACACAUGCAAGUCGAGCGGAUGAAGGGAGCUUGCUCCUGGAUUCAGCGGCGGACGGGUGAGUAAUGCCUAGGAAUCUGCCUGGUAGUGGGGGAUAACGUCCGGAAACGGGCGCUAAUACCGCAUACGUCCUGAGGGAGAAAGUGGGGGAUCUUCGGACCUCACGCUAUCAGAUGAGCCUAGGUCGGAUUAGCUAGUUGGUGGGGUAAAGGCCUACCAAGGCGACGAUCCGUAACUGGUCUGAGAGGAUGACCAGUCACACUGGAACUGAGACACGGUCCAGACUCCUACGGGAGGCAGCAGUGGGGAAUAUUGGACAAUGGGCGAAAGCCUGAUCCAGCCAUGCCGCGUGUGUGAAGAAGGUCUUCGGAUUGUAAAGCACUUUAAGUUGGGAGGAAGGGCAGUAAGUUAAUACCUUGCUGCUUUGACGUUACCAACAGAAUAAGCACCGGCUAACUUCGUG
Molecule: ribosomal RNA, 484 nt
Filed under: uncultured bacterium
Lineage: Bacteria
Description: partial 16S ribosomal RNA
Rfam family: Bacterial small subunit ribosomal RNA
Source: RNAcentral